UUAAUGCGAAUUGCAGAAUUCCAGUGAGUCAUCGAAUCUUUGAACGCACAUUGCGCCCUUUGGUAUUCCGAAGGGCAUGCCUGUUCGAGCGUCAUUAUCACCCCUCAAGCCCUCGGCUUGGUGUUGGACGGUUUGGUGGAGGCCCCCUCGGGGGUUCCUGCCCCUCCCAAAGACAAUGACGGCGGCCUCGUUGGACCCCCGGUACACUGAGUUCUUCACGGGACACGUAUCGGACACAUGGGUUUACGGGACACGGUCUGCCUCCCCUCAGGGAGAAUCUUUCUAAGGUUGACCUCGGAUCAGGUAGGGAUACCCGCUGAACUUAAGCAUAUCAAUAAGCGGAGGAAAAGAAACCAACAGGGAUUGCCUCAGUAACGGCGAGUGAAGCGGCAACAGCUCAAAUUUGAAAUCUGGCCUCUUUGGGGUCCGAGUUGUAAUUUGUAGAGGAUGUUUCGGGUACCGCCUCGGUUUAAAUUUCUUGGAACAGAAUGUCAAAGAGGGUGAGAAUCCCGUCUUGGACCGGCGGUAGGGCCCAUGUGAAACUCCUUCGACGAGUCGAGUUGUUUGGGAAUGCAGCUCAAAAUGGGUGGUAAAUUUCAUCUAAAGCUAAAUAUUGGCCAGAGACCGAUAGCGCACAAGUAGAGUGAUCGAAAGAUGAAAAGCACUUUGAAAAGAGAGUUAAACAGUAUGUGAAAUUGUUGAAAGGGAAGCGCUUACAACCAGACUUGCGCGCGGCGGUUCCCCCUUCCUUUUGGUUGGGCUACUCCGUCGUGUCCAGGCCAACAUCGGUUCUGGGGGUCGGUUAAAGACCCUGGGAAUGUAUCUACCCUUCGGGCGUAGACUUAUAGCUCAGGGUGUCAUGCGACCUCCCGGGACCGAGGAACGCGCUUCGGCUCGGAUGUUGGCGUAAUGGUGUC
Molecule: ribosomal RNA, 917 nt
Filed under: uncultured Herpotrichiellaceae
Lineage: Eukaryota; Fungi; Ascomycota; Eurotiomycetes; Chaetothyriales; Herpotrichiellaceae
Description: eukaryotic LSU rRNA
Rfam family: Eukaryotic large subunit ribosomal RNA (bases 290-917)
Source: RNAcentral